This 457-nucleotide ribosomal RNA is filed under the name Microcystis aeruginosa. RNAcentral describes it as "bacterial SSU rRNA". It matches the Rfam family "Bacterial small subunit ribosomal RNA", at positions 129 to 619 of the family's 1533-position model. Lineage: Bacteria; Bacillati; Cyanobacteriota; Cyanophyceae; Chroococcales; Microcystaceae. The record is from RNAcentral.
ACUUCAGGACGGGGACAACAGUUGGAAACGACUGCUAAUACCCGAUGUGCCGCGAGGUGAAACCUAAUUGGCCUGAAGAAGAGCUUGCGUCUGAUUAGCUAGUUGGUGGGGUAAGAGCCUACCAAGGCGACGAUCAGUAGCUGGUCUGAGAGGAUGAGCAGCCACACUGGGACUGAGACACGGCCCAGACUCCUACGGGAGGCAGCAGUGGGGAAUUUUCCGCAAUGGGCGAAAGCCUGACGGAGCAACGCCGCGUGAGGGAGGAAGGUCUUUGGAUUGUAAACCUCUUUUCUCAAGGAAGAAGUUCUGACGGUACUUGAGGAAUCAGCCUCGGCUAACUCCGUGCCAGCAGCCGCGGUAAUACGGGGGAGGCAAGCGUUAUCCGGAAUUAUUGGGCGUAAAGCGUCCGCAGGUGGUCAGCCAAGUCUGCUGUCAAAUCAGGUUGCUUAACGACCUA